RNAcentral lists this ribosomal RNA (253 nucleotides) under uncultured bacterium. Its description in RNAcentral is "partial 16S ribosomal RNA". It matches the Rfam family "Bacterial small subunit ribosomal RNA", at positions 524 to 776 of the family's 1533-position model. The record is from RNAcentral.
UACGUAGGGUGCAAGCGUUGUCCGGAAUUAUUGGGCGUAAAGAGCUCGUAGGCGGUCUGUUGCGUCGGUUGUGAAAACCCGGGGCUCAACUCCGGGCCUGCAGCCGAUACGGGCAGACUAGAGUUCGGCAGGGGAGACUGGAAUUCCUGGUGUAGCGGUGAAAUGCGCAGAUAUCAGGAGGAACACCGGUGGCGAAGGCGGGUCUCUGGGCCGAUACUGACGCUGAGGAGCGAAAGCGUGGGGAGCGAACAGG